AUAGGAAAUGAUUUCAUCUUAGAAUUGCUUUGAAAAAUCAUAUUGUGGUUGUCCUUACAAAUGCCUUGACAUGAAUGUUCGAGGAACUGGUCCUCUAUUCUUGGCAUGACAACAAUCUUUAUAAUGAUUACCGCACAUAUUAGUGGGAGAAGAUUCGAGAAUACGGUGUGGAUGACUCGAAUCUCAAACCUGUUGAUUGGAGUAAAGACGUGUUGUGUAUGUUGUUACUUAAUGAAUUGAAUAUUGAAGUGAUUAUCCAUGUUUCACUGGAGGGAAACUGCUGUUCGAAGAGGAUGAGGCAGUUCAACUCAAGGAUGUACAUAUUGGGCCGCACCCGUGUUUAGGGUUUUUCUAUGUAACAAAUAAGCCGUUCUUUGUAACACAGGCUGGAAGUAAUGUCACGCAUACGGUUUCUUUUAAGAUGUCAGAGAAAUGGGGCGGCAAGUUACGACUGACAGGUGUGAAAUGGACUUCCGAAGCGUACACCUUCAUUAGGUGUUCAUUUUUGGGGAAUUGAUGACUAAAAUGUAGAUGUCUGGCUACAAGUGCUGCUGCCUGUCAAGUUUCUCCAUGAUUGUUCACAGGCUGUCUAGUUUGUCAUAGUUGUACAUACUUUUCUAAGAUCCACAGCAGUUAGAAAUUGGAAUUUACUGCGAGCUAUUGAAUUUGUUAGAUCCACAGCAGUUAGAAAUUGGAAUUUACUGCGAGCUAUUGAAUUUGUUUUUUUUUA
Molecule: long non-coding RNA, 730 nt
Organism: Salvia hispanica
Lineage: Eukaryota; Viridiplantae; Streptophyta; Magnoliopsida; Lamiales; Lamiaceae
Source: RefSeq, a predicted model, not a curated record